GGGGGAAGAAAGUCUCAAGGGUAAUAUGCUUGAGAACCGACGUUACCUACAGAAGAAGCACUGGCUAACUCUGUGCCAGCAGCCGCGGUAAUACAGAGAGUGCAAGCGUUAAUCGGAAUUACUGGGCGUAAAGCGCACGUAGGUGGAUAUUUAAGUCGGAUGUGAAAGCCCCAAGGCUUAACCUGGGAAUUGCAUCCGAUACUGGAUGUCUCGAGUAUGGUAGAGGGAAGUGGAAUUUCCGGUGUAGCGGUGAAAUGCGUAGAUAUCGGAAAGAACACCAGUGGCGAAGGCGGCUUCCUGGACCAAUACUGACACUGAGGUGCGAAAGCGUGGGGAGCAAACAGGAUUAGAGACCCUGGUAGUCCACGCCGUCAACGAUGAGAACUAGCUGUUGGAGAGCUAACUUUCCAGUAGCGAAGCUAACGCGUUAAGUUCUCCGCCUGGGGAGUACGGCCGCAAGGUUAAAACUCAAAGAAAU
This 478-nucleotide ribosomal RNA is filed under the name uncultured Coxiellaceae bacterium. RNAcentral describes it as "bacterial SSU rRNA". It matches the Rfam family "Bacterial small subunit ribosomal RNA", at positions 440 to 910 of the family's 1533-position model. The record is from RNAcentral. Lineage: Bacteria; Pseudomonadati; Pseudomonadota; Gammaproteobacteria; Legionellales; Coxiellaceae.